This is a non-coding RNA of Gasterosteus aculeatus aculeatus (three-spined stickleback), 949 nucleotides long. NCBI's taxonomy places the organism in Eukaryota, Metazoa, Chordata, Actinopteri, Perciformes, Gasterosteidae. The record is from RefSeq and is a predicted model, not a curated record.
CAGCUAUCAGGCUGAUAACUGAUCUGUCUACUUACCCCGAACAUUAAAUUAGUUUGAAUAUAGAUGUUCUUUACAUUCUGCCCUUUUCGAUGCUCCUUUUCUCUUCUCAUUUAAGUACCAGGAGGAGCUCUUCUUUCUGAGGGUGAACAAGAUCCUCUGAUUCCUCCACCUCGCGGUGCCUUUUGGAGAGUGACUUCUUUGUUGCUGCUGGCUGAAUGAUUGCUCAUUCAUUCCUCCAUGAUGGGCCGGGCCUUGGAGGACUCAGCCCAGCUGUUCUGCAUGUGCUCUUUGGUGGAAGCCCAGAAGAAGUCAUGAUGAAAAUAUCAAGGACUGUGCUGACCUCGAUAUCCGCAAGACAGUCAAAGUGCUGGAGGGUACAGAAGAAUUGUCAUCUGAAGGAAAGAACAAUACUAAUGAGUUGUCACUGUCUUGGGAUUUGCCUCAAGUCACAUGUGAGAACAGAAGAUGCUGCUGGACAAGCUGAUGCUCCACGCAGAACUUGGAAGAAGCUCAAGACGGGUUAAACAGUUACGAAGGGGCUUAAAAGAGACGCUGAUCUGGCCUUUGCUAACUGAGAGGAAAGACACAAUUCCCCUCCUCUUUCCAAGAGCAUGUGAUGUACAGCGCACACCACAGGUCAGUGACCCCGUGAACUCACACUAGUGACUUUCUCAGAAAUGACAUGCGUUUUCUACUCUCAUGCAGACUUUGGUUAAAGUGAAGUUUUGGGAUCUGAAACGGGUUGCAGGGAAAUAAUCACAUUCAGCUUUUGAUCACUGGUUUCCUCCCUUUAAGUUAAACCUACAUCACUGCAUAAGCAAGUACUGCUCAGACAUGGUUGUCCUGAAGUCUUUGCAAGUUGUGUUUCAUAGAAAUGAACUGACAGUAAUUGCUGCCUAAAAGGAAGGUAAACCAAUUAAAGUGUUACCGUGUAAAAACCUCCACUGUU